Molecule: ribosomal RNA, 498 nt
Filed under: uncultured bacterium
Lineage: Bacteria
Description: partial 16S ribosomal RNA
Rfam family: Bacterial small subunit ribosomal RNA
Source: RNAcentral
ACUCAAAUGAAUUGACGGGGACCCGCACAAGCGGUGGAGCAUGUGGUUUAAUUCGAUGCAACGCGAAGAACCUUACCUGGUCUUGACAUCCACGGAAGCCCGAAGAGAUUUGGGUGUGCCGCAAGGAACCGUGAGACAGGUGCUGCAUGGCUGUCGUCAGCUCGUGUCGUGAGAUGUUGGGUUAAGUCCCGCAACGAGCGCAACCCUUGUCCUUAGUUGCCAUCAUUAAGUUGGGAACUCUAAGGAGACCGCCGGUGACAAACCGGAGGAAGGUGGGGAUGACGUCAAGUCAUCAUGGCCUUUAUGACCAGGGCUACACACGUGCUACAAUGGCAGGUACAGAGGGAAGCCAACCCGCGAGGGGGAGCUAAUCCCAGAAAACCUGUCUUAGUCCGGAUUGGAGUCUGCAACUCGACUCCAUGAAGUUGGAAUCGCUAGUAAUCGCAGAUCAGCAUUGCUGCGGUGAAUACGUUCCCGGGUCUUGUACACACCGCCCGU